This is a long non-coding RNA of Oncorhynchus kisutch (coho salmon), 1874 nucleotides long. RefSeq lists it as uncharacterized. The transcript is spliced from 3 exons. The record is from RefSeq and is a predicted model, not a curated record. NCBI's taxonomy places the organism in Eukaryota, Metazoa, Chordata, Actinopteri, Salmoniformes, Salmonidae.
CAAUAUAGUGAAACAUAACGAAGGUUACAUUUGUAACCAUGGUUAUGUGUGCUAUAUGGAUCACUCCAAUCCUCUACGGUGCUAGAGGCGCCUCAAAUUAUGUAGAGAACGUGUGUCAUGGGGUCUACAGUGUAUACAUAGGGGCGGACCCCAGCUGUGACACAGGUGUACACGGGAGUAAAUCUGUAAAUUCUCACCUCGGAUGUAUCCCUCCAUCGCAGAGUGAUACCAAUAUAUUGUAGUGGUCCAUAUAGCUCACAUAACAGUGGUUACAUAUGUAACCCUCGUUGUAGUACCCAGCGUGGUUCAAUAACAUUCCGUCUUUCAUAAGGAGAAAUGUUGAGCUUUGAUUUGCAGCAGGUACAGUCUUUACACACAGGAUGUCCACUUCAUGCUGCAGAGAAAGCUCUCCUUAUGAAACUAUGCACAAGCACUGUUCAUUAACUGCAAGAAAUCAUUGGAAAAUGUGAUAAUAACAUCACACAGGUAAACAUGUCUUCUGUCUGCAGUCUCCCUGGCUAAGCAUGGCAGGGAUGGAUGUCCAAAAUUUGUCCUGGAGAGGUGGUGAAUGUGCAAGAUUUUGUUCCAGUCCAACAUUAACGAAAAAUGUUGUUAAUAGUAUGUUAUGAUUUAGUGCUAGGCUGGAACAAAAGCCUGCCCUGCAGGGCCUGCACAUACUGCAUGCCUCCUGGACCAGGAUUGGGCAACCCCUGACUUAAAUGUAAUGUAUAUUUAGGAUAGUGUGUAUGUGUAAUGCCCCCUUGUUACAUGAGGAGGCCCAAAAGGAGGGGAGGAGGGCCAUGGAGGGGCUGAUCAGUCUGUUUGUAGGAGACAAAGCUGCUGUCAUGGUGGAGGUAAGCAGAUCUCAUUCACUCAAUGAGAUCCUAUCACUCAUCCUCCUCAAUGCUGUCUGCAAGCAAUAUUUAAGUUGACUGUUAUGAAGUUUGACGGUCAUCUUACUUUGUUUAGUUUGAUAAAGGCUUUUGUGUAAACUUAAAUAUAGUAGUAGUUCCACUGUGAUCAGAUGUAGCUGUAUCUCAAUGUCCUCCAUGUCUGUGUGUGCUGUAGGUGAACUGUGAAACAGACUUUGUUGCCUGUAAAUGAGAGGUUCCAGCAGCUGGGGAAGGAUGUGGCGUUUGCCACCAUGGCUCACCACCUCAGUAAAAACCAGAGUCACACUGGAUACGUGAAGUGUCUCCUGGCAGCAGAAGACCUCUCUAAACUGAACUUGGGUGAAGGUGCUUCUCUGGCUGAUCAGCUAGCUCUUACCGUAGGUUGUCUGGGUGAGACAUGUCAGUGAAGCGGGCGGUGACGGUGGGCUGCACAUCAGCUACUACAUCCACAGUGGCGUUGCAGGCCAGUCUGACAUGGCCAUGGGCUAUACGGCGCCCUCGUGGUGUUCCAGGGGGGCAAGGACGAGGCGCAGGACACACUGGGAGGAAGCUGAGGCAUCCUGUUGUGGGAGAGGCCCCCAUAUCCCUGGGCAGCACGGAUGACCUGCCCUGUCGGGACACGGAGACACGCCUGUUGGCGCAAUCCUUCCUCCCUGACCCCAGUAGGACAGUUGCCCAGUACCUGACAGAGCAGGGGGCUCGAGUUGUGGACUUUGUUUGCGUUCAGUGUUGGGAGGCGGGCAGUGAUGGGGCAUAGUGAAAGGGAGAGGAGAGCAUCUCAAAGACCUUACAUGUUUUGUUAUCUGCCUUUUUUUGUUUCUGAAUUAGAUCACAGUGCAGACGCUCAGUCGGUGUCAUGCAAAUGCACUCAAGCAAUUUCAGUGUCUCAUGUUUCAAGGCUGUAUGUGACGCCUAAUAUACACUGAGUAUACCAAACAUUAGGAACACCAUAUCCCCCCAGCAAUAAAUAUAUUUGAAGCU